UCGGAACGUGCCCAGUCUGGGGGAUAACUACGCGAAAGCGUAGCUAAUACCGCAUACGAUCUACGGAUGAAAGCGGGGGACUCGCAAGAGCCUCGCGCGAUUGGAGCGGCCGAUGGCAGAUUAGGUAGUUGGUGAGGUAAAGGCUCACCAAGCCUUCGAUCUGUAGCUGGUCUGAGAGGACGACCAGCCACACUGGGACUGAGACACGGCCCAG
This 214-nucleotide ribosomal RNA is filed under the name uncultured bacterium. RNAcentral describes it as "partial 16S ribosomal RNA". It matches the Rfam family "Bacterial small subunit ribosomal RNA", at positions 118 to 334 of the family's 1533-position model. The record is from RNAcentral.